RNAcentral lists this ribosomal RNA (490 nucleotides) under uncultured bacterium. RNAcentral's name for it is "partial 16S ribosomal RNA". It matches the Rfam family "Bacterial small subunit ribosomal RNA", at positions 29 to 505 of the family's 1533-position model. The record is from RNAcentral.
AUUGAACGCUGGCGGCAUGCUUUACACAUGCAAGUCGAACGGUAACAGGCCUUCGGGUGCUGCCGAGUGGCGAACGGGUGAGUAAUGCAUCGGAACGUACCCAGAGGUGGGGGAUAACGCAGCGAAAGCUGUGCUAAUACCGCAUGUGAUCUGAGGAUGAAAGCGGGGGACCGCGCAGCAAUGUUUGGCCUCGCGCCUUUGGAGCGGCCGAUGUCGGAUUAGCUAGUUGGUGGGGUAAAGGCCUACCAAGGCGACGAUCCGUAGCUGGUCUGAGAGGACGACCAGCCACACUGGGACUGAGACACGGCCCAGACUCCUACGGGAGGCAGCAGUGGGGAAUUUUGGACAAUGGGCGCAAGUCUGAUCCAGCAAUGCCGCGUGCGGGAAGAAGGCCGUCGGGUUGUAAACCGCUUUUGGCAGGAACGAAACGGUGUCCGCUAAUACCGGGCGCUAGUGACGGUACCUGCAGAAUAAGCACCGGCUAACUACG